GACGAACGCUGGCGGCGUGCUUAACACAUGCAAGUCGAGCGGUAAGGCCCUUUCGGGGGUACACGAGCGGCGAACGGGUGAGUAACACGUGGGUGACCUGCCCUCAGCUCUGGGAUAAGCCCGGGAAACUGGGUCUAAUACUGGAUAUGACUCCAUGACGCAUGUUGUGGGGUGGAAAGCCUUGUGCGGCUGAGGAUGGGCCCGCGGCCUAUCAGCUUGUUGGGGGGUG
RNAcentral lists this ribosomal RNA (229 nucleotides) under uncultured bacterium. RNAcentral describes it as "partial 16S ribosomal RNA". It matches the Rfam family "Bacterial small subunit ribosomal RNA", at positions 28 to 258 of the family's 1533-position model. The record is from RNAcentral.